RNAcentral lists this ribosomal RNA (562 nucleotides) under Chitinophaga tropicalis. RNAcentral's name for it is "Chitinophaga sp. ysch24 partial 23S ribosomal RNA". It matches the Rfam family "Bacterial large subunit ribosomal RNA", at positions 1 to 584 of the family's 2925-position model. Lineage: Bacteria; Pseudomonadati; Bacteroidota; Chitinophagia; Chitinophagales; Chitinophagaceae. The record is from RNAcentral.
UAAAGCGAAUAAGGGCGCAUGGUGGAUGCCUAGGCUCUAGGAGGCGAAGAAGGACGUGGUAAGCUGCGAUAAGCUACGGGGAGAUGCAAACGAUCGUUACAUCCGUAGAUUUCCGAAUGGGACAACCCAAUACAUUGAAGAUGUAUUAUCCGUAAGGAGGCCAACGCAGGGAACUGAAACAUCUAAGUACCUGCAGGAAAAGAAAAUAAAUAAUGAUUCCCUAAGUAGUGGCGAGCGAACGGGGAAUAGCCCAAACCGCGGUGGCGUGCUGCCGCGGGGUUAUAGGACUACUUUUAGAAAAUCAGAUCAAGUUGAAUCAUCUGGAAAGAUGAACCAUAGCAGGUGAUAGUCCUGUAGGCAGAAAUUCUGAUGGACGUGUAGUAUCCUGAGUAGUGCGGGACCGGAGGAAUCCUGUAUGAAUUUGCCAGCACCAUCUGGUAAGGCUAAAUACUCCCUAGAGACCGAUAGUGAACCAGUACCGUAAGGGAAAGGUGAAAAGCACUUCGAACAGAAGAGUGAAAUAGUUCCUGAAACCGUGCGCCUACAAGCGGUCGGAGCAUAG